Long non-coding RNA from Arachis stenosperma, 170 nucleotides. RefSeq lists it as uncharacterized. The record is from RefSeq and is a predicted model, not a curated record. NCBI's taxonomy places the organism in Eukaryota, Viridiplantae, Streptophyta, Magnoliopsida, Fabales, Fabaceae. The transcript has 3 exons.
GUCUCAGAGAGGAGAGAACUUAAGCUCACUGCUGAAGUUCACCGUACCCGUCGCUACCGCCCUCGUCACCGCAGUUCAGAUCAAGCAAAGGCAUGGAGGACUGUCUGUGAAAAUUUGAUAACUGUAAAUCUGAGAUUUUUGUAAAUAUUGUUGAUCCAAGUUGUACACUA